CCUACGGGAGGCAGCAGUGAGGAAUAUUGGACAAUGGGCGCAAGCCUGAUCCAGCCAUGCCGCGUGCAGGAUGACGGUCCUAUGGAUUGUAAACUGCUUUUGUACAGGAAGAAACAGUUCUACGUGUAGAACCUUGACGGUACUGUAAGAAUAAGGAUCGGCUAACUCCGUGCCAGCAGCCGCGGUAAUACGGAGGAUCCAAGCGUUAUCCGGAAUCAUUGGGUUUAAAGGGUCCGUAGGCGGUUUAGUAAGUCAGUGGUGAAAGCCCAUCGCUCAACGGUGGAACGGCCAUUGAUACUGCUAAACUUGAAUUAUUAGGAAGUAACUAGAAUAUGUAGUGUAGCGGUGAAAUGCUUAGAGAUUACAUGGAAUACCAAUUGCGAAGGCAGGUUACUACUAAUGGAUUGACGCUGAUGGACGAAAGCGUGGGUAGCGAACAGGAUUAGAUACCCUGGUAGUCCACGCCGUAAACGAUGGAUACUAGCUGUUGGAAGCAAUUUCAGUGGCUAAGCGAAAGUGAUAAGUAUCCCACCUGGGGAGUACGUUCGCAAGAAUGAAACUCAAAUGAAUUGACCGGNUGAGAGNGCGACGACGACGACGAGGGAGGAGG
This 610-nucleotide ribosomal RNA is filed under the name uncultured bacterium. RNAcentral describes it as "bacterial SSU rRNA". It matches the Rfam family "Bacterial small subunit ribosomal RNA", at positions 338 to 1363 of the family's 1533-position model. The record is from RNAcentral.